This 1998-nucleotide long non-coding RNA is filed under the name Anas platyrhynchos platyrhynchos (common mallard). RNAcentral describes it as "lncRNA (ENSAPLG00000026638.1)". The record is from RNAcentral. Lineage: Eukaryota; Metazoa; Chordata; Aves; Anseriformes; Anatidae.
UGUACAGGGAGAAUAUAAGAGUGGUCAGGAUUAUGAGCUACUGGAUGCAAGCUACAUAAAAUAACUCAACAGCUCUUAUUUAGCCCAUUUCAUCUGAAACUUAUUACCUAACUUGGCUCAUUCUCUUUCACCACUCUUGCACAUACACCUCAUCUCCUCUACAGUGUUUCAACAGAUAAAUUCUCACUCUUUCAUUCUCACCAUUAUUCCAGAAAACCUCCCAAAUGGAUAGAGCCAUGCUGACAGUGAACAGCUUUUGUUGGCUUAGCCCACAUCCUUUGGUGUAAUGACACUAACAGGAAAACUCUUCCUGUUGCUCUCUAUGCUCGGAAGUGAUUACAGCACAAGGUCUGUAGUGUGGACAAAUUCUCACUGCUGCACAUCCCAGUGAUCACAGUUGGGCUAGCGCUCAAACCAACCAGAUGGAGAAAGUCUCAUAGUGCCAGGCUUUGGUGGCACAAUGGGACCCAAGAAGCCCCAUGUUCUGCACCUCUUCACUGGAAAAGACAGAAAACAGCAUUUGAAAGCAGAGGUUCACCUUCCACUGAAUACCAGAGUGCAAUGCAUCAAACAGUUUCUGGUGAAACCUCUGAAAGGGCAACAUUUCUUCAGCAGAAGGAUAUGACUUUCCAUCAAACCUAGAAAAAUAUUUAUGAGAUGCUUUUGUAUUUAUUUACCUAUUUUUUAGGAAACAUUUUUUUCUUUUCCAAGUUAAAAUUAAUACAUGUAUCAUGAAAUGUCACAUCUCAUUUUCUUGGAAGACCUAAGGCUAGGAAGGAAAGCAAGCAUGGUAAAUAUUGCAUUGGCUACAUUUUCAUAUUUUUAAAAGAUCAUCUGUAUGCUCAAGAUGAACAUAUAAAACAACAAAAAAUUGAAUACAUUACUAAUACAGGGUACUGGAGGAGAUAAUCUUGAAAGAUCCUUCAACAUCUCUUCAGCCAGCUUUAUUUUCCAUCUGGGACAAGAUGUGAAAAGGACAAUCCCUCUUUUAUUUGUUCAUACGUAUCUAAUCAGGCAGUUGGAUUGCCUGAAUAUGAAUGAAGACCCUAGGUGAAUGCAUAGAUUAGAAACCAACAGAAGGAGUAGAUCAGAUCCUGAUCCAAAGUGUAAUAGCCAAGGCAGACAAUUUUACAUUGGUUAACUGAGUAAUCAUUGUGCUACAUAAAAGAUCUAACUUGUUAUAAAAAUACACAUAUCGUGUUGGAUUGUGUGCUGCUGUGUGCUAGAAGAUACCAGAUCAUAAAGCAUGGUGCCAAGACUGGUAAUAAUCAGACUUAACAGAUAACACCAAUUUUAUAAUGCCUUCUUAAACAGCUGUUUGUCAGACAAUGAAAACAGUAAGAGAGAUUUGAUGCACUGAAGGAAUCACAAGUAGAGUUGGCUGGAAAAUGCAGAUGCAGCAAAACUUUCCCAGACUUCUUACUGUUUAGAGAAUGCUUCUGCUCACUGUGCAGACAAGGAAGACAAGUGGUGGACGACAUGGGUGUUGGCGAGCUUACUUGGGUACUUCUGUUAUAUGAACGAUGCAGAUGGGAGCAGCACCGAUGUCUGACGGUCCCUCCAGCUAGGGCUGCACCUGCAGACCAGGCUAUCUGUUUCUGAGCAAGCGUACAUUUCAGUUCAUAGGAUCCAAAUCACGUUUGCCCACCUUCAUUGCUAAAUACAUAUGGACUAGAUGGUAUUUGGUCAGGGCAGUGGCUGCAGCACUGCGGCCUUGGUGUUUAGUUAGUCUACUAGUAACAUAGGUAAUGCUUUCCAAUCACAUCAUUGUUGUAUGGAAUAAGCUAUGGAUGUAGAAAAGUAAGUACAUCUGGAAAAUGUAAACCCAAUUACCACGGAUAACAGACAGCUACAUUCAUAAGGAAGUUCAGCAUCUCUAAUGCAAGUCUGAUUUAUAAGCCUGUUCUUGCAACACAUGAAAAAUAACUGGUAUUGUAUUGCAUUUGUUCAAUCUCUAGUUUAGUAGACAAUAAAGGCCUGAUAGAGACUGGACCUACA